CAUAACAGAAUUAAUGAAACAUCAAAACAGCAUAAAAUAAAAAUAUAAAACAAGACUGAAUUGAUCACAGCCUUAGACGAAUCCUAAAUCAAUACUAAUUGUUAUAUUAAUCGACUCGACCUUAAUGAUACUUAAGAUAAGAGAACAAAGCAACAACAUAAACAAAAAAACAAGAGAGGGAAGGCCAACGCAGUGAUGAGCGCAACUGAGAAGAACGAUGAGAUGAAGUAAACAAAAACAAAAAUAGGGCAAAGAAAAGAAACGAGGUGAAAUACCUAACAAAGAAAGCAAAUGGCUGACUUGAAUGAACUCCGGUGUCUUCGAUUUGACUUGAAUCAAAUAUUAACCGGGUAUUCUGAACGAAAACACAUGGCCAAUACUCGUUUCGAGCCCUAUCGCUCAAAGGAAGCUGAUAAGUUUGGCGAAUUUGUUCUUCCUCACUCUUAGACUCAAACAGACCGAUUAGGAGAGGGUUUGGGAAAAAAUGAUGAAGGAUUAGGGUUGAGGGAAGGAUGAUGGUCGCAUGGAUGAGAUUUGGGGGUGAUUGAAGCUUUUAUCUGAUGAAAAUAGCGGAACAGGGAUGGCUAGGGUUUGGCAUAAUGAGGCAGAUGAGAGAGAUGGGGAGGGGGGAGGGGUCUGUUUGGUUUUAGGUUAACAGGUAAUUCAGACAGUUUUAAUCAAAAUGAGGAUGUGUUCUAGUCCGUCCCAUUAUAUGGGAUUAAUGGGUCAGAUCACAUGGAGGAUAAAUUGUGUCGUUUUAGAAGGGGGAAGGGCUGGACCGGGUUAGGAGAUAUUUGGUCCUGGGCGGGUGGAAAUGAUUUGGGCCAUACGAAAUAAAUUGAAAUUGGCCCAAUUAGGUUAGCCCUUUUUAUGUGUUUUCCUUUUUCUUUGUUCAUUUGUUUUC
RNAcentral lists this long non-coding RNA (904 nucleotides) under Nicotiana benthamiana. RNAcentral describes it as "long non-coding RNA (NBEN_LNC012931)". The record is from RNAcentral. Lineage: Eukaryota; Viridiplantae; Streptophyta; Magnoliopsida; Solanales; Solanaceae.